AGCGUACACGGUGGAUGCCCUGGCAGUCAGAGGCGAUGAAGGACGUGCUAAUCUGCGAUAAGCGUCGGUAAGGUGAUAUGAACCGUUAUAACCGGCGAUUUCCGAAUGGGGAAACCCAGUGUGAUUCGUCACACUAUCAUUAACUGAAUCCAUAGGUUAAUGAGGCGAACCGGGGGAACUGAAACAUCUAAGUACCCCGAGGAAAAGAAAUCAACCGAGAUUCCCCCAGUAGCGGCGAGCGAACGGGGAGGAGCCCAGAGCCUGAAUCAGUGUGUGUGUUAGUGGAAGCGUCUGGAAAGGCGCGCGAUACAGGGUGACAGCCCCGUACACAAAAAUGCACAUACUGUGAGCUCGAUGAGUAGGGCGGGACACGUGGUAUCCUGUCUGAAUAUGGGGGGACCAUCCUCCAAGGCUAAAUACUCCUGACUGACCGAUAGUGAACCAGUACCGUGAGGGAAAGGCGAAAAGAACCCCGGCGAGGGGAGUGAAAAAGAACCUGAAACCGUGUACGUACAAGCAGUGGGAGCACAGAGCAAUCUGUGUGACUGCGUACCUUUUGUAUAAUGGGUCAGCGACUUAUAUUCUGUAGCAAGGUUAACCGAAUAGGGGAGCCGAAGGGAAACCGAGUCUUAACUGGGCGUUAAGUUGCAGGGUAUAGACCCGAAACCCGGUGAUCUAGCCAUGGGCAGGUUGAAGGUUGGGUAACACUAACUGGAGGACCGAACCGACUAAUGUUGAAAAAUUAGCGGAUGACUUGUGGCUGGGGGUGAAAGGCCAAUCAAACCGGGAGAUAGCUGGUUCUCCCCGAAAGCUAUUUAGGUAGCGCCUCGUGAAUUCAUCUCCGGGGGUAGAGCACUGUUUCGGCAAGGGGGUCAUCCCGACUUACCAACCCGAUGCAAACUGCGAAUACCGGAGAAUGUUAUCACGGGAGACACACGGCGGGUGCUAACGUCCGUCGUGAAGAGGGAAACAACCCAGACCGCCAGCUAAGGUCCCAAAGUCAUGGUUAAGUGGGAAACGAUGUGGGAAGGCCCAGACAGCCAGGAUGUUGGCUUAGAAGCAGCCAUCAUUUAAAGAAAGCGUAAUAGCUCACUGGUCGAGUCGGCCUGCGCGGAAGAUGUAACGGGGCUAAACCAUGCACCGAAGCUGCGGCAGCGACACUGUGUGUUGUUGGGUAGGGGAGCGUUCUGUAAGCCUGUGAAGGUGUGCUGUGAGGCAUGCUGGAGGUAUCAGAAGUGCGAAUGCUGACAUAAGUAACGAUAAAGCGGGUGAAAAGCCCGCUCGCCGGAAGACCAAGGGUUCCUGUCCAACGUUAAUCGGGGCAGGGUGAGUCGACCCCUAAGGCGAGGCCGAAAGGCGUAGUCGAUGGGAAACAGGUUAAUAUUCCUGUACUUGGUGUUACUGCGAAGGGGGGACGGAGAAGGCUAUGUUGGCCGGGCGACGGUUGUCCCGGUUUAAGCGUGUAGGCUGGUUUUCCAGGCAAAUCCGGAAAAUCAAGGCUGAGGCGUGAUGACGAGGCACUACGGUGCUGAAGCAACAAAUGCCCUGCUUCCAGGAAAAGCCUCUAAGCAUCAGGUAACAUCAAAUCGUACCCCAAACCGACACAGGUGGUCAGGUAGAGAAUACCAAGGCGCUUGAGAGAACUCGGGUGAAGGAACUAGGCAAAAUGGUGCCGUAACUUCGGGAGAAGGCACGCUGAUAUGUAGGUGAAGUCCCUCGCGGAUGGAGCUGAAAUCAGUCGAAGAUACCAGCUGGCUGCAACUGUUUAUUAAAAACACAGCACUGUGCAAACACGAAAGUGGACGUAUACGGUGUGACGCCUGCCCGGUGCCGGAAGGUUAAUUGAUGGGGUCAGCGCAAGCGAAGCUCUUGAUCGAAGCCCCGGUAAACGGCGGCCGUAACUAUAACGGUCCUAAGGUAGCGAAAUUCCUUGUCGGGUAAGUUCCGACCUGCACGAAUGGCGUAAUGAUGGCCAGGCUGUCUCCACCCGAGACUCAGUGAAAUUGAACUCGCUGUGAAGAUGCAGUGUACCCGCGGCAAGACGGAAAGACCCCGUGAACCUUUACUAUAGCUUGACACUGAACAUUGAGCCUUGAUGUGUAGGAUAGGUGGGAGGCUUUGAAGUGUGGACGCCAGUCUGCAUGGAGCCGACCUUGAAAUACCACCCUUUAAUGUUUGAUGUUCUAACGUGGACCCGUGAUCCGGGUUGCGGACAGUGUCUGGUGGGUAGUUUGACUGGGGCGGUCUCCUCCUAAAGAGUAACGGAGGAGCACGAAGGUUGGCUAAUCCUGGUCGGACAUCAGGAGGUUAGUGCAAUGGCAUAAGCCAGCUUGACUGCGAGCGUGACGGCGCGAGCAGGUGCGAAAGCAGGUCAUAGUGAUCCGGUGGUUCUGAAUGGAAGGGCCAUCGCUCAACGGAUAAAAGGUACUCCGGGGAUAACAGGCUGAUACCGCCCAAGAGUUCAUAUCGACGGCGGUGUUUGGCACCUCGAUGUCGGCUCAUCACAUCCUGGGGCUGAAGUAGGUCCCAAGGGUAUGGCUGUUCGCCAUUUAAAGUGGUACGCGAGCUGGGUUUAGAACGUCGUGAGACAGUUCGGUCCCUAUCUGCCGUGGGCGCUGGAGAACUGAGGGGGGCUGCUCCUAGUACGAGAGGACCGGAGUGGACGCAUCACUGGUGUUCGGGUUGUCAUGCCAAUGGCACUGCCCGGUAGCUAAAUGCGGAAGAGAUAAGUGCUGAAAGCAUCUAAGCACGAAACUUGCCCCGAGAUGAGUUCU
RNAcentral lists this ribosomal RNA (2774 nucleotides) under Escherichia coli. RNAcentral's name for it is "bacterial LSU rRNA". It matches the Rfam family "Bacterial large subunit ribosomal RNA". The record is from RNAcentral. Lineage: Bacteria; Pseudomonadati; Pseudomonadota; Gammaproteobacteria; Enterobacterales; Enterobacteriaceae.